UCCGGCUUAACGCCGGCAGUCUGCCUAGAGUGCUCAGCUUGCCUGUUAGCAACUGACGACAGAGGUUGCGCUCGUUGCGGGACUUAACCCAACAUCUCACGGCACGAGCUGACGACAGCCAUGCAGCACCUGUGAUCGUUCCCGACUUUACGGGUCGUCGCCCUUUCGGGUUCCUACUGCGACCAUGUCAAGCCUAGGUGAGGUUCUUCGCGUUGCAUCGAAUUAAACCACACGCUCCGCUGCUUGUGCGGGCCCCCGUCAAUUCCUUUGAGUUUUAGCCUUGCGGCCGUACUCCCCAGGCGGGGCACUUAAUGCGUUAGCUUCGGCACGGGGGGAGUCGACACCCCCCACACCUAGUGCCCAUCGUUUACAGCGUGGACUAC
Molecule: unclassified non-coding RNA, 383 nt
Filed under: uncultured bacterium
Lineage: Bacteria
Description: contains 16S-23S intergenic spacer region
Source: RNAcentral